RNAcentral lists this long non-coding RNA (808 nucleotides) under Helianthus annuus (common sunflower). Its description in RNAcentral is "sRNA HanXRQr2_Chr12g0532181". Lineage: Eukaryota; Viridiplantae; Streptophyta; Magnoliopsida; Asterales; Asteraceae. The record is from RNAcentral.
AUCUCUCUCUCUCUUCAUCUCUUCAUCAGAGAUGAAGAAGAUCAUCAUCUUCAACUUUCGAACAUAUAAGUUUGUUAUAUAAACACAUAAGGCGACUAAGCCGGCCCGUUCUUGCUCCGACGAGAGAGAUCGAGGAGAAAGAAAGUUGCUGAAAGAGAGAGAGGGAAAGACGCCGCCGCCGGCGACGGUUCCGGUGUUGUUCUGACCUCCGGCCGGGGUCACCCACACCCCUGUUUUUAAAGUUGCAGACCACCAUCAGGGGCAAACCCCAUCGUUUCUGACCUUCGGUCGGUGGGUAGGGGUGUUGUGAACCAGUGAUGAUGCCAAAACAGGGGUUGACCCCGUCGUUUCUCCGGCGACACCACUGCCGUCCCCCCUGGGAUGAUUGAUCUGUAAGAUGGGUUUGUGACAAUAACCAUUUCUUCUUGUGUUUCUUCACCAUUUUUUUGGGUUUCUAAUUUUAUCAAAAAUGAGUGAUGGAAAUGGUGCUAAAGUCACCGUCUGUUGAUUUGUUAAAGUGGUUAAAUCUGUGGGUUUUGAUAUGGUCGAUUGUGUGGCGAUGAUGAAAAAAAACGUUGAUUUAGAUGACGAUGGCGCGACAAGUACGGCGGAGGGUAGGUUUUUUGAACCUGCAACCCCACUUUUGCAGCCUUUUGAUUAUUGGAUAAUCUGAGCAAAACCCUGUUUUUUUCGAGAUACACUUUGUUUUGAUGUUAUUGGUUUUUUAUUUUUUCCCCCUAGUCGAUGAUGAUAACGAUAUAUCUGAGACACCUCCCGAGUUUGCGAUUUCUGGUUGCGUUCGUUUUUG